UAUAAAUAUAGUGGGAAAGUUUCCCUGCUAAGCUUGCUGUGAAGAGAAGGGUGAAGGUGCAGUAACUGCUAUACAAGCAGCAUUGGUCUGAAACAGAUGGCAACCGAUCCAUCAGUGCGUAGCGAUGAAGGGCUGACAUGACAUGGUGAAUGCCUUACUUGGAUGGCAUAGCUUGCUGAAGGCAGUCGAGGCCCAUCUGCACCACGAGAGGGAAUCGGUUCGGAGGGAAUUGCUCACCUAACUUUUCUCUCGGCGAUUGGUUCCUCAGUGCAGGUAGGGCUGCGACUGGAGAGUGAGGGGUUGGAGGCCGCGUGCAGUGUGGCAAAACCUGGGCUGAGCUUCCCAGCGUGGCGGAGCUGCUCGGCGUGGUGACCGCGUCCUUCACCGCGUCUCCACUGCGGAGCUCUUUGCGGCCGCACCGAAGCCGUGGAGGAACAGACGCCGGCUUUCCAAGUACGAAUGCUUCUGUGAUGGGUUGAGGCACAGCUUUGCGUUUCCACGUCUAGCUGCAGCUUUUUCCCCUUUGCCAAAACUGUGAUUUCAACUGUGAUUCAAGGAGGAUGUGAAGCGAAGUGUCGUUGUAAUACCUCUAACUUAACAUUUCUGUCAGCUUCAGAGUUGGGGCUCACUAACCCGUUUGUUUGCUUGACUCAGGCGGCAGGGGGGACGUCCUCUAUUUCUGCAGGCUUCUGUGUGGGAGGAAGAACACAUUUCUUAGCUCUUUGCUGUGGCAAAGAAACCUUCCUCAUGCCAAGUGUAACGCUUCUCUCCAGCAGCCUGCAGAAAGCCCUAAGUGACAGCAGAGCAAAGCGCUCGGACGGUCCCUGCUGCCGCCAGCUUCCCUGUGAAUAGCUGUGAAAAUAAUGAGAAUUGUGUUAGUACUGUGCUGCUGCUUUGGCAAAGGCUGAGCCUUCCUCUGGGGAGGAAUGGCUGGGAAAGAGACAAGCAGACCGUCUUGCUGUUCUCCUGCAACAGGAGCUUGGGACAGCAAGCAGGGCUGCUUCUUUCCAGCAGCUGGCGAGGGAUAAGCAAAGAGGGCUCACGAAGUGGGAAUUCAUCACAGCAGAGUGACAGCACGCUUAGAGACACAGAAUGAGAGCCAGUGCUGGGGCAGGUCAGUGGGGCAGGCCCCAGCACUCGUCCUGUGCUGAGUUGCACCAGUGCUGUGCUUACCAUGCCAGGAACAUCUGAGGAUGGGAGAAAUCCAGGGCCUUUGGUUCAGGAAAUGUUGUGUGUUUUAUUUGGGCUUGGGCUCCGAUUUCCCCCAGGAGCUGAGCCAUAACCACAGCCACAGUCAGAAAUGUGGGGACUUCCACGGAGCUGCCACCGCUCUGACAUUAUCUGGGGAGUCCUGCCAUCUCUCGCCAGCUGCCUCGGCUUUGUUGCUGAAAAGGUCUCUUCUGUGAAACAUAGGGAAAAUCAGAGGAUAUAGGAGUGGCUGAACUGCGGUGAUUGGGGUGCUAGUUGGAGGAGAGGUGCCUGGAGAGGAAGGCCUGGCAGCAUCUUAUUUCUGAGCAUAGGAUUGAUUGGGUCAGCUUCAUUGUGCAAAUUGUGAAUGCUGCCGUUGCGAGGAUGGAGGCUGUGAUGGAAGCAGGGCUGGGCUGCAUGCUGGUCCCACACAGGUACUGGAGGCCUUCCUGCUGAUCUGAAGGUACCAGAGCUCGGUCUGCUGGGGAGCUGCCAUGUAUGUGGUUCUACCAUUUCUUUGUGUCAGAUCCGACCAUGGCUUUUUUUUUUUUUUAGGUUGAACUAAGAGAUAUCCAACUGUAAUCUUCACUGACCUGUUUGACUUCUUAUUCCUAGGGACUGUAGAAAAUUCAGGUUUCAUAUAACAUUAUCCUCAUCCCAACUGUGAACACGUUACUACUGCUUCUUAUAAUUUAUUACCUUUCCGUUUCUGAACGUCUGUGCGAUCCGGCUGUUUACCAGUGCCACCUUCCAGUGCUCCAUUAGUUUUCAUGCACAGGGAAUUGUUGCAAUGGAUAAGCUGACCAUGCUAGUUGGAAGAGUAGAAGCCUUUGCAGAGUGACUUUUGCUUCCUCUAGCUGUCAUUAGGGAAUGCACACACACA
Molecule: long non-coding RNA, 2071 nt
Filed under: Gallus gallus (chicken)
Lineage: Eukaryota; Metazoa; Chordata; Aves; Galliformes; Phasianidae
Description: long non-coding RNA NONGGAT008837
Source: RNAcentral